AGGUCUGUCGCCAAGCGGUAAGGCAACGGGUUUUGAUCCCGUCACACCUAGGUUCGAAUCCUAGCAGACCUGCCA
This 75-nucleotide transfer RNA is filed under the name Vibrio cholerae. Its description in RNAcentral is "tRNA-Gln". It matches the Rfam family "tRNA". From Rfam's summary of the family: Transfer RNA (tRNA) molecules are approximately 80 nucleotides in length. The record is from RNAcentral. Lineage: Bacteria; Pseudomonadati; Pseudomonadota; Gammaproteobacteria; Vibrionales; Vibrionaceae.